GAUAUAAAACAAACACUCCCAAACUCUCAGCUAUAAGAGUAUCAGCUUAUGCCUAGUCCAUAUUUCAUAUGGAGUCUUUGCAACUAAUUAAUUCAAAAUCCAGUUGAGAACAUGACAAGUAGUUUCAAAAGUAUAACCUUAAAAGGAGACUGACAGACUUAUAAACCUCAUCAAAGAUCGAACUAUAUCUAACAAAGUUAAUUCCAAUAAGAGAGAAUCCUAUUCUCUUCUAGAUAUAUCAAAAACUCACUAAAAAAGCAUCUCCUCCUUGGUCUGACCGAAG
Molecule: long non-coding RNA, 283 nt
Filed under: Elaeis guineensis (African oil palm)
Lineage: Eukaryota; Viridiplantae; Streptophyta; Magnoliopsida; Arecales; Arecaceae
Description: long non-coding RNA (EGUI_LNC054006)
Source: RNAcentral